GACGAACGCUGGCGGCGUGCUUAACACAUGCAAGUCGAACGGAAAGGCCCUGCGUUUGGGGGCAGCUCGAGAGGGGAAAGGGAGAGUAACACAAGAGUAACCCGUCCCUGGCAUAGGGCUAAGAUAUUGGGACUAGUGCUGAUAGCGCAUAGGAUCUCUCGCGGCUGGUUGGGGAAUGGAUAGCUUCGGCGGUUGGGGCUGGCCUCGCGGCAUAUCAGCUUGUUGGUGGGGUAGUGGCUUACCAAGGAGUGGACGGGUAGCCGGCCUGAGAGGGUGACCGGCCACACUGGGACUGAGAUACGGCCCAGACUCCUACGGGAGGCAGAAGUGGGGAAUAUUGCGCAAUGGGCGGAAGCCUGACGCAGCGACGCCGCGUGCGGGAUGACGGCCUUCGGGUUGUAAACCUCUUUCGCCUGUGACGAAGCGUAAGUGACGGUACCGGGAGAAGAAGCACCGGCUAACUACGUG
Molecule: ribosomal RNA, 468 nt
Filed under: uncultured bacterium
Lineage: Bacteria
Description: partial 16S ribosomal RNA
Rfam family: Bacterial small subunit ribosomal RNA
Source: RNAcentral